RNAcentral lists this long non-coding RNA (1383 nucleotides) under Anolis carolinensis (green anole). RNAcentral describes it as "lncRNA (ENSACAG00000036383.1)". Lineage: Eukaryota; Metazoa; Chordata; Lepidosauria; Squamata; Anolidae. The record is from RNAcentral.
UGUAUGGUUGUCUUUAUGUUUAGUAUGCACACUGAAGUGGAUUAUAUGGCAGUGUGGAGUCAAGAUAAUCCAGUUCAAAGCAGAUAAUAUGAGAUUAUAAAUGGGUUAUAUAGCUGUGUGGAAGGGCCUUGAGUCUACACUGCCAUAUAAUCCAGUUAAAAUCUGAUAAUCUGUGGAAGAGGCCUAAGUGAGGCCUAACUGUGCCUGUCCCCUGGGCUGAGUAGGUUGCUAGGAGACCAAGUGGGCGGAGCUUAGCCUUCAAACUGGCAGCAAUUGGAUAAAAACUAUUAUUCCUCUCCCUGUAAUUAGGACUUUAUUUUUCUUUUCUUUUUGUUGUAUCAACCCAGAGCCGUGAAUGAUGGGUUGUGUUGUCAAGGUUGGGGUUGGGGGGCCUGUAGGUUGGGGGGCCUGUAGUUUUGUUGUUUUGUCCGCUGCCCUGAUGCCAUCACUCUUUUAUAUAUAUAGAUAGAUUAUUAUUAUAUCCUAUUAUUAUAUUAUCCUAUUAAUAUAUUUUAUAUCAUUAUAUCUAUACAUAUAAAGGAGUGAUGGCAUCAGGGCAGCGGACAAAACAACAAAACUACAGGCCCCCCAACCUCGAAAUUUGACAACACAACCCAUCAUUCACGGCUCUAGGUUGAUAAAACAAAAAGAAAAGAAAAAUAAAGUCCUAAUUACAGGGAGAGGAAUAAUAGUUUUUAUCCAAUUGCUACCAGUUAGAAGGCUAAGCUCCGCCCACUUGGUCUCCUAGCAAACCUACUCAGCCCAGGGGACAGGAAGACUUAGGCCUCAUUUAGGCCUCUUCCACAGAUUAUCAGAUUUUCACUGGAUUAUAUGGCAGUGUAGACUCAAGGCCCUUCCACAUCUAUAUAACCCAUUUAGAAUCUUAUAUUAUCUGCUUUGAACUGGAUUAUCUUGACUCCACACUGCCAGAUAAUCCACUUCAGUGUGCAUACUAAACAUAAAGACAGCCAUACAACAGACAUUCAAUACCACCACUACUUCAACAAUUUCUCACCAACACCACCAGACAACACCACAGCAACGAGUGGCCGGGCACAGCUAGUUAUAUUAUAAUUUUAUCGUUCUAUUGUUAUUCCAUUAUUAUUGUAGUAUAAUAUCAUAUUAUUACUAUUAUAUUAUAUUGUUAUAUUAUUAUUCAUUAUUCAUGACUAUAUUGAAACUAGAAUAGAGAGAAAUCAGUGUGGAAACUUUGUGAAGCUUAAAAGGCAAGAAGUACCAUAGAUUGUUGUACAUGGAAAUAAUGGUAGUAAAUAGUUUUUGAUUUAUUAAAUACAGUUACUGUAUAUACUCGAGUAUAAGCCUAGUUUUUCAGCCCUUUUUUUUAAGACUGAAAAAGCCCCCCGCAGCUUAUACUCGGGUGAG